This 60-nucleotide microRNA precursor is filed under the name Alligator mississippiensis (American alligator). Its description in RNAcentral is "Ami-Mir-181-P2b_pre stem-loop". It matches the Rfam family "mir-181 microRNA precursor family", at positions 12 to 73 of the family's 83-position model. Rfam says of the family: In this case the mature sequence comes from the 5' arm of the precursor. The extents of the hairpin precursors are not generally known and are estimated based on hairpin prediction. The record is from RNAcentral. Lineage: Eukaryota; Metazoa; Chordata; Crocodylia; Alligatoridae.
AACAUUCAUUGCUGUCGGUGGGUUUUAGUUUGUACCAACUCACUGAUCAAUGAAUGCAAA